GCCUUGCCAGCCCGCUCAGAAACCAAAGGAAUUGACGGGGGCCCGCACAAGCGGCGGAGCAUGUGGAUUAAUUCGAUGCAACGCGAAGAACCUUACCUGGGUUUGACAUACACCGGAAAACCGUAGAGAUACGGUCCCCCUUGUGGUCGGUGUACAGGUGGUGCAUGGCUGUCGUCAGCUCGUGUCGUGAGAUGUUGGGUUAAGUCCCGCAACGAGCGCAACCCUUGUCUUAUGUUGCCAGCACGUGAUGGUGGGGACUCGUAAGAGACUGCCGGGGUCAACUCGGAGGAAGGUGGGGACGACGUCAAGUCAUCAUGCCCCUUAUGUCCAGGGCUUCACACAUGCUACAAUGGCCAGUACAGAGGGCUGCGAGACCGUGAGGUGGAGCGAAUCCCUUAAAGCUGGUCUCAGUUCGGAUCGGGGUCUGCAACUCGACCCCGUGAAGUCGGAGUCGCUAGUAAUCGCAGAUCAGCAACGCUGCGGUGAAUACGUUCCCGGGCCUU
RNAcentral lists this ribosomal RNA (503 nucleotides) under uncultured Rhodococcus sp. RNAcentral describes it as "bacterial SSU rRNA". It matches the Rfam family "Bacterial small subunit ribosomal RNA", at positions 903 to 1382 of the family's 1533-position model. Lineage: Bacteria; Bacillati; Actinomycetota; Actinomycetes; Mycobacteriales; Nocardiaceae. The record is from RNAcentral.